This 468-nucleotide ribosomal RNA is filed under the name uncultured bacterium. Its description in RNAcentral is "partial 16S ribosomal RNA". It matches the Rfam family "Bacterial small subunit ribosomal RNA", at positions 28 to 507 of the family's 1533-position model. The record is from RNAcentral.
GACGAACGCUGGCGGCGUGCUUAACACAUGCAAGUCGAACGGAAAGGCCCUGCUUUUGUGGGGUGCUCGAGUGGCGAACGGGUGAGUAACACGUGAGUAACCUGCCCUUGACUUUGGGAUAACUUCAGGAAACUGGGGCUAAUACCGGAUAGGAGCUCCUGCUGCAUGGUGGGGGUUGGAAAGUUUCGGCGGUUGGGGAUGGACUCGCGGCUUAUCAGCUUGUUGGUGGGGUAGUGGCUUACCAAGGCUUUGACGGGUAGACGGCCUGAGAGGGUGACCGGCCACAUUGGGACUGAGAUACGGCCCAGACUCCUACGGGAGGCAGCAGUGGAGAAUAUUGCACAAUGGGCGGAAGCCUGAUGCAGCAACGCCGCGUGCGGGAUGACGGCCUUCGGGUUGUAAACCGCUUUCGCCUGUGACGAAGCGUGAGUGACGGUAAUGGGUAAAGAAGCACCGGCUAACUACGUG